RNAcentral lists this ribosomal RNA (253 nucleotides) under uncultured bacterium. RNAcentral's name for it is "partial 16S ribosomal RNA". It matches the Rfam family "Bacterial small subunit ribosomal RNA", at positions 524 to 776 of the family's 1533-position model. The record is from RNAcentral.
UACAGAGGGGGCAAGCGUUGUUCGGAAUUACUGGGCGUAAAGGGCGCGUAGGCGGCCUGUUAAGUCGGACGUGAAAUCCCCGGGCUCAACCUGGGAACUGCGUCCGAAACUGGCAGGCUUGAAUCCGGGAGAGGGAUGUGGAAUUCCAGGUGUAGCGGUGAAAUGCGUAGAUAUCUGGAGGAACACCUGUGGCGAAGGCGGGUCCCUGGGCUGACACUGACGCUGAUGCGCGAAAGCGUGGGGAGCGAACAGG